This is a small nuclear RNA of Suncus etruscus (white-toothed pygmy shrew), 112 nucleotides long. The record is from RefSeq and is a predicted model, not a curated record. NCBI's taxonomy places the organism in Eukaryota, Metazoa, Chordata, Mammalia, Eulipotyphla, Soricidae.
GCGAACAUCUAUAAAAAAACAGCACAUAUAUUAAAAUUGGAAUGACACAGAGAAGAUUAGCAUGGCCUUUGUGCAGGAUGACACACAAAUUCGUGAAGUGUUCCAUAUUUAA